UGAAUGGUCGCCAAUGGUGUGCCAGUCU
Molecule: small RNA, 28 nt
Filed under: Bombyx mori (domestic silkworm)
Lineage: Eukaryota; Metazoa; Arthropoda; Insecta; Lepidoptera; Bombycidae
Description: ovarian small RNA-31186
Source: RNAcentral